This 63-nucleotide transfer RNA is filed under the name Sastragala esakii. Its description in RNAcentral is "tRNA-Ala". The record is from RNAcentral. Lineage: Eukaryota; Metazoa; Arthropoda; Insecta; Hemiptera; Acanthosomatidae.
AGGGUUGUAGUUAAAUUAACAUUUAAUUUGCAAUUAAAAGAUGCUAUAAUAUAGCCAUCCUUA